CUCCUUUGACGUUAGCGGCGGACGGGUUAGUAACACGUGGGUAACCUACCUAUAAGACUGGGAUAACUUCGGGAAACCGGAGCUAAUACCGGAUAAUAUUUCGAACCGCAUGGUUCGAUAGUGAAAGAUGGUUUUGCUAUCACUUAUAGAUGGACCCGCGCCGUAUUAGCUAGUUGGUAAGGUAACGGCUUACCAAGGCGACGAUACGUAGCCGACCUGAGAGGGUGAUCGGCCACACUGGAACUGAGACACGGUCCAGACUCCUACGGGAGGCAGCAGGGG
Molecule: ribosomal RNA, 282 nt
Filed under: uncultured Staphylococcus sp.
Lineage: Bacteria; Bacillati; Bacillota; Bacilli; Caryophanales; Staphylococcaceae
Description: partial 16S ribosomal RNA
Rfam family: Bacterial small subunit ribosomal RNA
Source: RNAcentral